CAAGAAGCAGCAGUGACUCAGCUAUAAAUAGGUGCUGACAGAGAGAGGCAAGAAGCAGCAGUGACUCAGCUUUAGAUAGGUGCUGACAGAGACAGGCAAGAAGCAGCAAUCUAAAGCUGAGUCACUGCUGCUUCUUGCCUCUCUCUGUCAGCACCUAUUUAUAGCUGAGUCACUGCUGCUUCUUGCCUGUCUCUGUCAGCACCUAUUUAUAGCUGAGUCACUGCUGCUUCUUGCCUGUCUCUGUCAGCACCUAUUUAUAGCUGAGUCACUGCUGCUUCUUGCCUCUCUCUGUCAGCACCUAUUUAUAGCUGAGUCACUGCUGCUUCUUGCCUGUCUCUGGCAGCACCUAUUUAUAGCUGAGUCACUGCUGCUUCUUGCCUGUCUCUGUCAGCACCUAUUUAUAGCUGAGUCACUGCUGCUUCUUGCCUCUCUCUGUCAGCACCUAUUUAUAGCUGAGUCACUGCUGCUUCUUGCCUGUCUCUGGCAGCACCUAUUUAUAGCUGAGUCACUGCUGCUUCUUGCCUGUCUCUGGCAGCACCUAUUUAUAGCUGAGUCACUGCUGCUCCUUGCCUGUCUCUGUCAGCACCUAUCUAAAGCUGAGUCACUGCUGCUCCUUGCCUGUCUCUGGCAGCACCUAUUUAUAGCUGAGUCACUGCUGCUCCUUGCCUGUCUCUGGCAGCACCUAUUUAUAGCUGAGUCACUGCUGCUCCUUGCCUGUCUCUGUCAGCACCUAUCUAAAGCUGAGUCACUGCUGCUUCUUGCCUGUCUCUGGCAGCACCUAUUUAUAGCUGAGUCACUGCUGCUCCUUGCCUGUCUCUGUCAGCACCUAUCUAAAGCUGAGUCACUGCUGCUUCUUGCCUGCUGCCAAACCUGUAGCCUUUCUGGCCCUUUUUCUUGCUGUGCUACACACACACACACACAUACACAUUCACACACACACACAUACACAUACACACACACACACACACACACACACACACACAUACACAUACACAUACACAUACACAUACACAUACACACACACACACACACACACACACACACACACACACACACACACACACAUCUGUUAUCUCCCCCCCCCCCCCACCCCCUUUCCCUCUGACAGACUAGUCCCCCUCAUGCAACAGUCCGCUCCCUCGCUCCCAAUUUAGUCCCCCGCUGCUCCCAGGGACUGGAGCACAGUUGGAGCAUGCUCAGGAGGUGACAGAGCAGCCCCAGUAAAACCCGUCUCUCUCUCUCUCAGCCUGCUCCGUCCACUCCUCUCCCUCUAUCCAGCCCAGCCUCUCUCCAGCGUCAGAGCCAUGGAGCCUUCCCGUGAGGUCCCCUUCCUGGAUGGCCUGACUAUGAAGGAGAUAGCCUCAGCCUCGGCCCCAGACGCCGACGUCUACACCAAGUUCAUGAUGAACCACUGCUGCUACGACGCCAUUCCAACCAGCUCCAAACUGGUCAUCUUCGACACCACCUUGCAGGUAAAGAAAGCUUUCUUUGCUCUGGUGGCGAACGGCGUCCGAGCGGCGCCACUGUGGGAUAACAAGCUGCAGUGUUUUGUAGGCAUGCUGACCAUCACCGACUUCAUCAACAUUCUCCACCGGUAUUGGCAAUCUCCUCUGGUAGAGAUCUACGAACUGGAGGAGCACAAGAUAGAAGACUGUAGAGAGGAAUUUCUGAAGUACUCCAACCAUACUCUGAUCAGUAUCACACCUGACUCCAGCCUUUUUGAUGCCAUCUACUCUCUGCUGAAGUAUAAGAUUCAUCGGCUGCCUGUGAUCGACCCAGAGUCCGGCAACGUCCUGCACAUCCUCACCCACAAACGUAUCCUCAAGUUCCUACAUAUCUUUGGCACCAUGAUCCCGAAGCCUCGGUACCUCCAGAAGAGAAUUGAAGAGGUGGACAUUGGAACGUUUAAAAAGAUUGCUACUGUCCGGGAGACGGACACGGUGUAUGAUGCCCUGGCCAUCUUCGUAGAACGGAGAGUUUCCGCUCUGCCAGUGGUCAACGAGGAGGGGAAAGUCAAGGCCCUGUACUCCAGGUUUGAUGUGAUUAAUCUGGCCGCUCAACAGAACUACAACAAUCUCAACAUGACUAUGCAAGAGGCGAUCAGCAGCAGGGCCUGCUGUGUGGACGGGGUGCUGAAGUGUUACCCUCACGAGACUCUGGAGACUAUCAUCGACCGCAUUGCUAAGGCAGAGGUAGGACUACUUGAUAUGAUAUUUAGUGUGGUUACUUUACUGAAGUGUUUCCCUCACGAGACUCUGGAGACUAUCAUCGACCGCAUUGCUAAGGCAGAGGUUCACCGUCUCGUGCUGGUGGAUAAAGAUGACGUGGUGGGGGGGAUCGUCUCGCUCUCUGACCUCCUCCAGGCCCUGGUCUUGACCCCGGCAGGUAUUGAUGCCCUUUUCUCUUAGCACCUGACUGUGGGGUGGGGGGUCCAUCUAUCACUACCCACCACCUCCCAGCCCCUCCCCAGCCCCAACCCCAGAGAUUUCACGAAGAGCUCAAACUCUGACCACUGAAGAAAAAUCGGGACACUAAUAAUGAAUGAAGACAGAAACUCUGUAAAUAUUUUUGAUCAUGCUCGGUAACUUUAAAAUGCUUUUUAAAAGGUUUAUUAUUUUCUGCAGGAUAACACCAAAACUUUCAUAUUUUUAUAUUCAUACUUAUGUUUGUUUUAGUAUUUGUUUGUAUAAAUGUUUUAUUUAAAUAAUGUACAUUUUAUAAAAUCUCUCCUAUACCGUUCAAAGUAUUAUAUACAGUACAGUUCAAAAGUAUUUUAUAUAUAUACAGUGGGGAGAAGAAGUAUUUGAUACACUGCCGAUUUUGCAGGUUUUCCUACUUACAAAGCAUGUAGAGGUCUGUAAUUUUUGUCAUAGGUACACUUCAACUGUGAGAGACGGAAUCUAAAACAAAAUUCCAGAAAAUCACAUUGUAUGAUUUUUACGUAAUUAAUUUGCAUUUCAUUGCAUGGCAUAAGUAUUUGAUCACCUACCAACCAGUAAGAAUUCCGGCUCUCACAGACCUAGGUGCAGGUCUAGGUGAUUUGUAUGUCUAUGGUGGCCUGAUAUGGUUGCCAAUCAGAGGCAGCUGUUUAUCGUUGUCUCUGAUUGGGGAUCAUAUUUAAGUUGCCAUUUUCCCUUUGGUGUUAGUGGGAUCUUGUCUAUGUGUAGUUGCCUGUCAGCACUCGUUUUGUUAGUUUGUCAGUGUUUCAUUCUUUUAAUAAAUAAGAAUGUACGCAUACCACGCUGCACCUUGGUCCGAUCUUUACAACAAACGUGACAGAAGAACCCACCAGAAAAGGACCAAGCAGCGUGUUCAGAAGGAGCAGACAUCAUGGACAUGGGACCAGAUUUUGGACGGUAAAGGAUCCUGGACGUGGGAGGAAAUAUUGUCAGGAGAGGAUCGCCUACCAUGGAAGCACAGCCACACGAGGAUAUUGGCUGAGUCAGGUUGGAGACCUGAGCCAACUCCUCGUGCUUACCGUGGGGAGCGUGUGACUGGUCAGGCACCGUGUUAUGCAGAGAUGCGCACGGUGUUUCCAGUUUGCAUUCAUAGCCCGGUGCGCUCUAUUCCAGCUCCUCCCAUUGGCCGGGCUAGAAUUGGCAUCCAGCCAGAACGGAUGGUGCCUGCUCAGCGCUCCUGGUCUCCAGUACACUUCCUUGGACCAGGAUAUCCUGCGCCGGCUCUGCGUACUGUGUCUACGGUGCGUCUGCACAGCCCAGUGAGUCCUGUGCCAGCGCCCCGCACUUGCCGGGCUCAAGUGAGCAUCCAGCCAUUACGCAUUGUGCCAGCUCUACGCUCCAGAUCUCCAGUGCACCUCCACAGUCCACACACUUCCUGCUCCUCGCACUCGCUCUGAGGUGCGUGUCAUCAGCCCGGUACCACCAGUUCCGGCACCACGCACCAGGCUUCCAGUGCGCUUCCAUAGUCCAGAGCUUCCGGCGACAGUACCCAGUCCAGAGCUUCCGGUGACAGUACCCAGUCCAGAGCUUCCUGCGACAGUACCCAGUCCAGAGCUUCCUGCGACAGUACCCAGUCCAGAGCUUCCGGCGACAGUACACAGUCCAGAGCUUCCGGCGACAGUACCCUGUCCAGAGCUUCCGGCGACAGUACCCCCAGUCCAGAGCUUCCGGCGACAGUACCCCCAGUCCAGAGCUUCCGGCGACAGUACCCCCAGUCCAGAGCUUCCGGCGACAGUACCCAGUCCAGAGCUUCCGGCGACAGUACCCAGUCCAGAGCUUCCGGCGACAGUACCCAGUCCAGAGCUUCCGGCGACAGUACCCAGUCCAGAGCUUCCGGCGACAGUACCCAGUCCAGAGCUUCCGGCGACAGUACCCAGUCCAGAGCUUCCGGCGACAGUACCCAGUCCAGAGCUUCCGGCGACAGUACACAGUCCAGAGCUUCCGGCGACAGUACCCAGUCCAGAGCUUCCGGCGACAGUACCCAGUCCAGAGCUUCCGGCGACAGUACCCAGUCCAGAGCAUCCGGCGACGGGCCACAGUCCGGGGCCUCUGGCGACGGUCCUCAGUCCAGAGCCCACCCGGACCCUCCCCUAUAGGUUCAGGUUUGCGGCCGGGAGUCCGCACCUUUGGGGGGAGGUGUACUGUCACGCCCUGAUCUGAGAUAUCUCUGUUUUCUUUAUAUUUCGGUUAGGUCAGGGUUUGACUAGGGUGGGUACGUUAGUUUUUGUAUUGUCUAGGGUUUUUUGUAUGUCUAGGUGAUUUGUAUGUCUAUGUUGGCCUGGUGUGGUUCCCAAUCAGAGGCAGCUGUUUUUCGUUGUCUCUGAUUGGGGAUCAUAUUUAGGUAGCCAUUUUCCCUUGGUGUUCGUGUGAUCUUGUCUAUGUGUAGUUGCCUGUCAGCACUUGUUUGUAUAGCUUCACGUUUCGUUUUGUUAGUUUGUUCAGUGUUUCAUUCUUUUAAUAAGAAUGUACGCAUACCACACUGCACCUUGGUCCGAUUCAUACGACGGACGUGACACAGUCAAAGUAUUUUAUAUAUAUACACAGUAUCAAUAGAAGUAUUUUAUAUAUAUAUAUAUAUAUAUAUAUAUAUAUAUAUAUAUAUAUAUAUAUACACAGUACCAGUCAAAAGUUUGGACACACCUACUCAUUCAAGGGUUUUUAUUUAUUUUUACUACUUUCUACAUUGUAGAAAAAUCAGGAUCUGAUACCAAAUCUUUUCAACCUGAGGGGGAAGAACAUUUUCUUUGGUAACAGUAGAAACAGAAAGGUGUAGGGGUUGAGUGGGAGGUAGGACAGCAGUCUGCCAGGGAGGACAGCAGUCUGCCAGGGAGGACAGCAGUCUGCCAGGGAGGACAGCAGUCUGCCAGGGAGGACAGCAGUCUGCCAGGGAGGACAGCAGUCUGCCAGGGAGGACAGCAGUCUGCCGGGGAGGACAGCAGUCUGCCGGGGGGGACAGCAGUCUGCCGGGGAGGACAGCAGCAGUCUGCCGGGGAGGACAGCAGCAGUCUGCCGGGGAGGACAGCAGCAGUCUGCCGGGGAGGACAGCAGCAGUCUGCCGGGGAGGACAGCAGCAGUCUGCCGGGGAGGACAGCAGCAGUCUGCCGGGGAGGACAGCAGCAGUCUUCCAGGACAGGAGUCUCCUGAUGAAGAAGAAACCUCACCUAUGACCUUGCCUACCCCCUGACCCUGCCUACCCCCUGACCUUUGCCUUCUCCCUGACUUUUGCCUUCCCCCUGACCCUGCCUACCCCCUGACCCUGCCUACCCCCUGACCCUGCCUGACCCUGCCUACCCCCUGACCUUUGCCUACCCCCUGACCUUUGCCUACCCCCUGACCUUUGCCUACCCCCUGACCUUUGCCUACCCCCUGACCUUUGCCUACCCCCUGACCUUUGCCUACCCCCUGACCUUUGCCUACCCCCUGACCUUUGCCUACCCCCUGACCUUUGCCUACCCCCUGACCCUGCCUGACCCUGCCUACCCCCUGACCCUGCCUACCCCCUGACCCUGCCUACCCCCUGACCCUGCCUACCCCCUGACCCUGCCUACCCCCUGACCCUGCCUACCCCCUGACCCUGCCUACCCCCUGACCCUGCCUACCCCCUGACCCUGCCUACCCCCUGACCCUGCCUACCCCCUGAUCCUGCCUACCCCCUGACCCUGCCUACCCCCUGACCCUGCCUACUCCCUGACCCUGCCUACCCCCUGACCCUGGCUACCCCUGACCUUUGCCUACCCCCUGACCUUUGCCUACCCCCUGACCUGGAUGCUACUGUCUGUGCCUCAUAACAGUCUUGAAAGGUCAACUUAAAAAAUGUUUGUAAUACUUGGAUCAAUGUAAAAGUAUAUUCAGACAAACAUUAAACAUGUAAAUUAAGUGAAAUUAAAAUAGCCUUACAAUUUGGAUUGUCAUAGCAAUAUUCAUAACAAUCGAACCGUUUAAUUUUGUAGCGGGGUGGAGUCUCUCUCUCUACCUCCAGGAACGUAAAGCGUACAAAUCUUUUGCAGUAGCCAUUAGUAUCAGGUGAUAUCAGUAUCAGGUGAUUUCUUACAUCUUAUUUGUUCUUUAUGCAGUCAUCCAUUGUAAACCAGUCACCUGAAAAGGUGAACAUACAGCUGAGGUUCUAGGCUGACAUUACGGAAACCUGUGUAAAAAGAUUGAUGUUGUCAAUACUGAUUUCACAUUCUACUGAAUUAAAUUUAAUAAAUUGUUACCACUGAA
Salvelinus fontinalis (brook trout) is the source of this 6680-nucleotide RNA transcript. It is a transcript of the gene named protein kinase, AMP-activated, gamma 3b non-catalytic subunit, with no coding region annotated. Lineage: Eukaryota; Metazoa; Chordata; Actinopteri; Salmoniformes; Salmonidae. The record is from RefSeq and is a predicted model, not a curated record. The transcript has 13 exons.